RNAcentral lists this long non-coding RNA (358 nucleotides) under Mytilus galloprovincialis (Mediterranean mussel). Lineage: Eukaryota; Metazoa; Mollusca; Bivalvia; Mytilida; Mytilidae. The record is from RNAcentral.
AUUUAGUAUUUAAAUGUUUAUUUUAGGUUUGAUUUGGUUUAAAUAUAGUAGGAUAAAAGUAAAGAAUGAUAAUUUAACUGUUUUAGUAUUUAACUUUGAUGUUUUUAUAGUGUUUUAAGAAUAUUCAUUUAUUCAACUUUUCUUCAGUACCUUUUAUGUUAAAGUUCUCUUGAUUAAUGACAAGUUUAGGAUAUCAUUUGAUAUUCAGUCGGAGUCGGCCUUGCACAGGCCUCCAAAUACUCGCCGGAACUAAUAUUAGUACUAAUCGAGUCUAGAGUUAGCCACUACAUCGGUGCAGUUCGCCAGAGUUAGUCACCUCUUUUUGGUGCAAUUUUACUACUUUAAAACACAACGCGAA